UACGUAGGGUGCGAGCGUUGUCCGGAAUUAUUGGGCGUAAAGAGCUCGUAGGCGGUCUGUCGCGUCGAUCGUGAAAACUUGGGGCUUAACCCUGAGCUUGCGGUCGAUACGGGCAUAACUGGAGUUCGGCAGGGGAGACUGGAAUUCCUGGUGUAGCGGUGAAAUGCGCAGAUAUCAGGAGGAACACCGAUUGCGAAGGCAGCUCGCUGGGACGGUACUGACGCUGAGGCGCGAAAGCGUGGGGAGCGAACAGG
Molecule: ribosomal RNA, 254 nt
Filed under: uncultured bacterium
Lineage: Bacteria
Description: partial 16S ribosomal RNA
Rfam family: Bacterial small subunit ribosomal RNA
Source: RNAcentral